This 371-nucleotide ribosomal RNA is filed under the name uncultured organism. Its description in RNAcentral is "partial 16S ribosomal RNA". It matches the Rfam family "Bacterial small subunit ribosomal RNA", at positions 527 to 896 of the family's 1533-position model. The record is from RNAcentral.
GUAGGUGGCAAGCGUUGUCCGGAAUUAUUGGGCGUAAAGCGCGCGCAGGCGGUUCUUUAAGUCUGAUGUGAAAGCCAACGGCUCAACCGUGGAGGGUCAUUGGAAACUGGAGAACUUGAGUACAGAAGAGGAAAGCGGAAUUCCACGUGUAGCGGUGAAAUGCGUAGAGAUGUGGAGGAACACCAGUGGCGAAGGCGGCUUUCUGGUCUGUAACUGACGCUGAGGCGCGAAAGCGUGGGGAGCAAACAGGAUUAGAUACCCUGGUAGUCCACGCCGUAAACGAUGAGUGCUAAGUGUUAGGGGGUUUCCGCCCCCUUAGUGCUGCAGCUAACGCAUUAAGCACUCCGCCUGGGAGUACGGCCGCAAGGCUG